RNAcentral lists this transfer RNA (63 nucleotides) under Cacopsylla fuscicella. RNAcentral's name for it is "tRNA-Cys". Lineage: Eukaryota; Metazoa; Arthropoda; Insecta; Hemiptera; Psyllidae. The record is from RNAcentral.
GAUUUUUUAUUCAACUAUGAUUUUGAAGUGCAAAUUCAAAGGUAACUUUAGAGUUAAAAAUUU